CCUACGGGAGGCAGCAGUGGGGAAUCUUGCGCAAUGGGCGAAAGCCUGACGCAGCCAUGCCGCGUGAAUGAUGAAGGUCUUAGGAUUGUAAAAUUCUUUCACCGGGGACGAUAAUGACGGUACCCGGAGAAGAAGCCCCGGCUAACUUCGUGCCAGCAGCCGCGGUAAUACGAAGGGGGCUAGCGUUGCUCGGAAUUACUGGGCGUAAAGGGAGCGUAGGCGGAUAGUUUAGUCAGAGGUGAAAGCCCAGGGCUCAACCUUGGAAUUGCCUUUGAUACUGGCUAUCUUGAGUACGGAAGAGGUAUGUGGAACUCCGAGUGUAGAGGUGAAAUUCGUAGAUAUUCGGAAGAACACCAGUGGCGAAGGCGACAUACUGGUCCGUUACUGACGCUGAGGCUCGAAAGCGUGGGGAGCAAACAGGAUUAGAUACCCUGGUAGUCCACGCUGUAAACGAUGAGUGCUAGUUGUCGGCAUGCAUGCAUGUCGGUGACGCAGCUACGACAUAAGACACUCCGCCGUCGGGAGGUACGGUCGCGAAGAAUUAAACGUUAAAAGUAAGUUAGACGGCGUGAGACGUGACCGACGACGACGACGAGGGAGGUAGG
This 605-nucleotide ribosomal RNA is filed under the name uncultured bacterium. RNAcentral's name for it is "bacterial SSU rRNA". The stretch from base 1 to 517 matches the Rfam family "Bacterial small subunit ribosomal RNA", at positions 338 to 873 of the family's 1533-position model. The record is from RNAcentral.